GAUGCAAAACUGAUUUAAUAUAAACUGCUGAUUAAACGUUGUGUAAAAACACUGGUAACUGAGCUUUGUCCUGGCAGGAUUUACCAAGUAUCUUCUGUCCUCUGUUUUGUUAACGCCAACUUUCUAUCCCGCUUUGACGAUUUGUGGCUUUUGUGCCUCUGUGUAAUCCGUAUCAAAUCUGUACCAGAGGGCAAUCUGGUCUGGCAACAAAACCAUUCUUCCAUGCAGAAAUUCAUAAAGAAUAAUCUUAUUACAAUAAUUCGUAAAGUGCCCUCAGGAAGGUGCUCAUGAUGCCAUGACAUUAUAGAAACAAUAUACAAUCUGAUACAUUAAUUUCCAAAAAAAUCUUCCAAAGCAAAAAGGGAAAAAAUAAAAGGAGGGGAACAACAAAUAUAGAGGCAAAUACUGUCAGUCUAACGAUAGUCAAAUUAAUUAUGGAACACUUCAUAAUUAGUCUCAGAGUGCUUGUAAAAAUGGGGAGGGUGAAACUGGCAGGAGGAUCUUGGAAAGAUCCCACGUUUUCUAAUUCUACCAAAGUAAAUGCACCAUCAGCAAGCUCCAUGUUUGAAGAUAAACGACUAUGAAUUACUAUGAGGUAUUUUACUAAGGGCAUUGAAAAAAAUACAACAUCCAAAGAAAUACCAUGACCCACAUUUUACUAAGAGGAAAGAAGAUAAUACAGUGGCUACGUAUACCCACGGACCUUUAGUGUCUUGGGUUUUAUAUUUAUAAAGAAAACAAUCUUUCUCCUCCCUGCUGAUCCCAGAUUUUUUUUUUUAUAUAUAUAUAUAUGUAACUACAUAAUAUAUAGUUUCAUGUAUAUAUAAUCAUACACACAUAUGUGUAUAUAUUUCAGGGUCUUACUAGAUUUCAGAGUCUUAUUUUUCUUUUUUGCUUUCUUUAAUGACUUAGAGAACACAUAGGGCAAAAAAUCAAGUAAUUGGGUGCAUGCAAGCGUGUCUUGCCACUUGUGCAUGUAAAUCACACCAUUUGUAAACAACUGCAGCAAUAGUGUGCUCAAAUGAGGCAUCUGAUUGCCCAAUUAACUUGUUCAAAGAAAAUCAGAUGAUAACCUUCAGUAGCUCCUAUUAUAGAUUUUACUUCUCAGUACUGCUUUACUGAAUUCAUAGUGUAUAUUCUAAAUGACUGCAUUGUUGGUUUGUGCUUUUACAUAGGCAUAAGCAGCAAUGCACACUUCAUAAAGCUAUCACGUCAACUUUGGACCAGAUUUGAGAGAGCAUUUUAGAUACUUUGAGUCCCCUUAUUUUAGUGAGAACGAGCCACCUUAGACAAUUGUCUAUCCUCAUGGACAGAGAAACUGAAGUACCCAAAUCUAUCCAAGUCCUGCAAGUAGAGAAACUUGUUAAUUUGUGUAUCAAAAUGACUUAAGAAAUGGACUUUUACCAUAAAUACGUUGCUCCUUUGUUGCUGAACUUCUUUUUCUGAGAUGAUGUUGUGGAAACAGGGUAUUUUCUUUUCUCUACUAACUUUUUGCAUCAAAUAAAUCUUAGCAACUAUAAUAAGGUGAAAAAAAAAAGCUGAGCAAACUUUAUCUUAACAACAUUCUCUCAAAUAAGAGAAAAGGAAGCAAAGAGCAGAACUGCUGGGCUGGAUCGUGUCCCUGAAUAGGUAUUACAGAUAAUCUUGGCUGCAUUUACCAGUUCUUUAUAGGCCUCCUGCAGCAACAGGCGCGCUGGUCCAACUCUUCAUCCUCCCUCAGGAACAGGGGAGCAGCAAGACAAGCUACUGGCC
Molecule: long non-coding RNA, 1752 nt
Organism: Strigops habroptila (Kakapo)
Lineage: Eukaryota; Metazoa; Chordata; Aves; Psittaciformes; Psittacidae
Source: Ensembl